Non-coding RNA from Nicotiana tabacum (common tobacco), 602 nucleotides. Lineage: Eukaryota; Viridiplantae; Streptophyta; Magnoliopsida; Solanales; Solanaceae. The record is from RefSeq and is a predicted model, not a curated record.
ACACGUCAAAGUAAGAGACAAAACUGGAGAGACUACUGUGGUCCUAUUUAAUAUUGUUGCGGAGAAGCUCCUUGAUACAUCUGCACACAAGUUGUUCAAUAGACUAUCAUUGGAAAGCAAUAAUGUACCUCCACAAAUCCAAAUUCUUUGUGGCAAGGAAUUUGUUUUCAAGCUACGAUUAAACAAUUACAAUCUCAACGAGGGGCUUAAAAAUUAUACGGUAUCCAAGUUGUUCAUUCUAGAUGAGAAUCUGAAAUUGCAAUACACAACAAGGAAAGAACAAAAGGGGAAAAAGAAAGUUGAGUAUAACGUUGAAACAAAACGUUUUGUUGAAGGAAAGGAUUUUGAAGACUCUCCAGAAGAUCCACAUAUCAAUGACGGUGUUAACUGUAGGAGGAGAAGAACUUCAUUAAGAAAGAUUAGAAAGAGAAGAAACCUAAUCAUACAUGACGAUGAAGUUAUCGAGCAAGCCACAAAAAAAGCAAGAAGUAGAGUGUUUAUUUGUUGGUUUUAGAACUUUUGAUGUUUAAGAGUAGACAAAAUUAUUGUGUCCUUUUGUGCUUUUCAGUAUGUUCGCUGCAGUAGAAGUUGUAUUGAUGUAG